AUUGAACGCUGGCGGCAGGCUUAACACAUGCAAGUCGAGCAGAGAGAGGUAGCUUGCUACUGAUCUUAGCGGCGGACGGGUGAGUAAUGCUUAGGAAUCUGCCUAUUAGUGGGGGACAACAUUUCGAAAGGAAUGCUAAUACCGCAUACGUCCUACGGGAGAAAGCAGGGGAUCUUCGGACCUUGCGCUAAUAGAUGAGCCUAAGUCGGAUUAGCUAGUUGGUGGGGUAAAGGCCUACCAAGGCGACGAUCCGUAGCGGGUCUGAGAGGAUGAUCCGCCACACUGGGACUGAGACACGGCCCAGACUCCUACGGGAGGCAGCAGUGGGGAAUAUUGGACAAUGGGCGGAAGCCUGAUCCAGCCAUGCCGCGUGUGUGAAGAAGGCCUUAUGGUUGUAAAGCACUUUAAGCGAGGAGGAGGCUACUUUAGUUAAUACCUAGAGAUAGUGGACGUUACUCGCAGAAUAAGCACCGGCUAACUCUGUGCCAGCAGCCGCCGUAA
RNAcentral lists this ribosomal RNA (501 nucleotides) under uncultured bacterium. RNAcentral's name for it is "partial 16S ribosomal RNA". It matches the Rfam family "Bacterial small subunit ribosomal RNA", at positions 30 to 523 of the family's 1533-position model. The record is from RNAcentral.